RNAcentral lists this long non-coding RNA (1353 nucleotides) under Calidris pugnax (ruff). RNAcentral describes it as "lncRNA (ENSCPUG00000008672.1)". Lineage: Eukaryota; Metazoa; Chordata; Aves; Charadriiformes; Scolopacidae. The record is from RNAcentral.
AGUAUCCUCUGCUCCAUUUUACAGGUGGGGAAACUGAGGCAGGGAGUGGCUUGCCCAGAGUCAACGAGGUGCCCCUGUGGAGCUGGGGAGAGAAGCUGCUGCCAUCCCAGGAGGAAGCCUGUCCUGACACCAAAACCCAUGCUGUGCAGCCCAUCUGCACCCUCGCAGGGGCUCUGAUCGAUACGGGUUCGGUCUCUGACGGAGCUCACGGGGCAGCUGCACAAACACGUGUGCGAGCACCAGCGACCCAUCGGGGCAGAGGUGACAAGAGGGAGGCAAGGACAGCAGAAGCAGGGGCUGCCUUUUCUCAUUAUAAGUGCUGGAUGAAGAUGUACACGAAACUUCAGCUUUAAACCAAUUAUGCCUCAGCUCUUCACCUGUGGGAACAGAGUUCAUAAUCUCCCAUUGUUUUCCUGUCCUGUCCCCUGCUAUUAUUUGUGCUACAAUCCAAAGGAGCACUGGUUUUAGAUAUAAUAAUUGCAUUUCUGUAACAAUUGCAGCUGCAAGGUAUUCCACUUGAAGUGGCGUUUGUCACUGAGAAACACUAACUCCAUUGACAACUUAGCUAACUAUAGGUGAACUCAAACUUUGCAUUUUUUAGCUAAAAAAAGUUUUCUUGUAUGCUUUUGUUCUCUGAGAAACUUGAAACAAAAAUAUCUGUCUUUUAAAUACCCAGCCCCACACUUCCUGACUGACCCAGUAUAAGCCACUGCUCAUGCACUGCACUCAUUAUUUCCUCUCUUUGAAGAAAAAUUAGCCACAGUCUGGCAAUACCUUGCCUUCCCAUUGACCUUAUCUCUCAUCUUCUGGGGAGAGCGAGCUGCUCUUCUCAAGAAGGCAAGCUAAAGACAGAGCAGAGCACACGGGUGGUGAGAAGGGUUUGAGACAUCCGCUUCUUCAGCCCCGGUCUUUUCUGGUUCUGCUGACUGGUCUCCUCCCUGACACCAAAGUACCUCGCUGAUGGCCACUGCAGGAGGAGGCUGAAAACCAUUUGAUUUUCUUUUGCUGCUUUUUUCAGUUUGGCUAUUUUCUUAACAAAAUAUGUUCUUUCUGCAGCAAUACUGCUAUUGCCAUGGCAAGUGCUAAAGUCUGGCUAUUGUUAGACUGCAGAGAUCAUCAAAAAGCAACUUUAGCUCUUGUCUUUGCAUUGUAACCGAGGCUUUGCUUCCACGGGAGGAGCCAAGGUCUCCUCAACCCACUGAGGACUUCUGUCAUCACGUCAGCAGCUCUGCGUGUUCACUCCAUCUGUGCUGCCAGACCAGUGGGAGCUGGUGCCUGUCACUUACAGGGAGCAGGUUUUUCUUAUGUUACUUUUGAGGUCCUACAAUGAACCACACCUCCAGUCAUGUUUCU